UCAACGGGGCUAAAAUCAUAACCGAAGCUUGGGAUGCAAUUAAUGCAUGGUAGGGGAGCGUUGUGUAAGGGGUGAAGUCACAGCGGAAGCGGUGGUGGACAUUACACAAGUGAGAAUGCCGGAAUGAGUAGCGCGAAUUAUGUGAGAAUCAUAAUGGCCGAAAGUCUAAGGUUUUUGGAGGAAGGUUCGUCCGCUCCAAGUUAGUCGGGAGCUAAGGUGAGGCCGAAAGGCGUAGCCGAUGCACAUACGGUAGAAAUUCCGUAACCGUCGAAGUAUUUAAGCAAAGGGACACUUUGGGAAGGUACAAGCCAGGCGUUGGUAGCCCUGGCCGUAAGGGACUGAAAAUUAGUAGGGAAGUGUACUGGAACAGAGGCGAGAAAAGCUUUGUGUAUAUACAAGACGCCCGUACCGCAAACCGACACAGGUAGAUGGGAAGAGAAUUCUAAGGCCAACGGGAGAAGGGUUGUUAAGGAACUCGGCAAGUUGACCCCGUAACUUCGGAAGAAGGGGUGCUCUGGAAACAGAGCCGCAGAGAAUAGGUCCAGGCGACUGUUUAGCAAAAACACAGCUCUAUGCUAAAUCGAAAGAUGAUGUAUAUGGGGUGACACCUGCCCGGUGCUGGAAGGUUAAGAGGAGAUGUCAUCGCAAGAGAAGCAUUGAAUCGAAGCCCCAGUAAACGGCGGCCGUAACUAUAACGGUCCUAAGGUAGCGAAAUUCCUUGUCAGGUAAGUUCUGACCCGCACGAAUGGUGUAACGAUCUGGACACUGUCUCAACAACCCGCCCGGCGAAAUUGUAGUACCGGUGAAGAUGCCGGUUACCCGCGACAAGACGGAAAGACCCCAUGGAGCUUUACUGUAGCUUAAUAUUGGAUUUUGAUAUUUCAUGUACAGAAUAGGUGGGAGACUGAGAAGCAGAGGCGUCAGCUUCUGUGGAGUCGCCUUUGGGAUACCACUCUUGAAGUGUUGAAAUUCUAACCUGCGGCCGUGAAACCGGUCGGGGGACAUUGUUAGGUGGGCAGUUUGACUGGGGCGGUCGCCUCCAAAAAGGUAUCGGAGGCGCUCAAAGGUUCGCUCAGCAUGGACGGAAACCAUGCCCUUGAGUGUAAACGCAUAAGCGAGCCUAACUGCGAGACGGACAGGUCGAGCAGUAACGAAAGUUGGAGUUAGUGAUCCGGCGGUAU
RNAcentral lists this ribosomal RNA (1181 nucleotides) under human gut metagenome. RNAcentral's name for it is "bacterial LSU rRNA". It matches the Rfam family "Bacterial large subunit ribosomal RNA", at positions 1172 to 2429 of the family's 2925-position model. The record is from RNAcentral.